GGAGGAGGCCCGGCCGCGACCCGGGCCGCGCGCUGAGGAGCCGCCCGGUCGCCUGCGCGCUCCCUCCGGCGGCGUCCCCAGCCCGCGGCCCCUCUGCUGCCGGCCCCCGGCUCGCCGGCUGCGGGAGUGGCCUCAAGAUGGAUGAAGACGGCGGCGGCGAGGGUGGUGGCGUGCCUGAAGACCUCUCAUUAGAAGAGAGAGAAGAACUUCUAGACAUUCGUCGAAGAAAAAAGGAACUUAUUGAUGACAUUGAGGUUACCCUUCAUUCUUGGGAAAAUCAGAUAACCCAGAAUUGGUCUCUGGUUGAAGAAUAAGGAUGUAUAUUAUUUGGACCUUAGUAAUCAGCCUGCUGGAUAAAUGUGGAAUCGUAAUCUAGCUCUAACUACUUCAUUUUAUCAGUGAGCACACUGAGGCCCAGGGAAGUUGGAGGCUUCCAGAGAGGCUGAAAUAUGAAAUUGCAGAGGUGAUGACAGAGAUCGACAAUCUAACUUCCGUAGAGGAGAGCAAAACGACUCAGAGGAACAAACAGAUAGCCAUGGGAAGAAAGAAAUUCAACA
Molecule: long non-coding RNA, 557 nt
Filed under: Homo sapiens (human)
Lineage: Eukaryota; Metazoa; Chordata; Mammalia; Primates; Hominidae
Description: non-protein coding lnc-CYTH3-1:1
Source: RNAcentral